Molecule: ribosomal RNA, 403 nt
Filed under: uncultured bacterium
Lineage: Bacteria
Description: partial 16S ribosomal RNA
Rfam family: Bacterial small subunit ribosomal RNA
Source: RNAcentral
AUUGAACGCUGGCGGCAGGCCUAACACAUGCAAGUCGAGCGAGCGGCGGACGGGUGAGUAAUGUAUGGGGACUGCCCGAUAGAGGGGGAUAACUACUGGAAACGGUGGCUAAUACCGCAUACUAUCGGAUAACCCAUAUGGGAUUAGCUAGUAGGUGGGGUAAAGGCUCACCUAGGCGACGAUCUCUAGCUGGUCUGAGAGGAUGAUUCGCCCAACUGGGACUUGGAAACGGCCCAAGAUCCAAGGGAGGCAGCAGGGGGGAAUAUUGCACAAUGGGCGCCAACCUGAAGCAACCAAUGCGCGGGUAUGGAGGAGGGCUUAGGGUUGUAAAGUACUUUCAGCGGGGAGGCGUUACCCGCAGAAGAAGCACCGGCUAACUCCGUGCCAGCAGCCGCGGUAAUAC